AGCCUAACAUGAAGAAAGAACCUUGUUUGAUAGCCAAGGAUGACUUGCCUUGCUUUUAAAGAAAGGUCUCUCAACUUUAGCUUAGCUACAUAUAUAGCUAGUAUCCUUGUGCAGGUUCCAAGGCAAGUCGUCUUUGGCUAUUUUGACAGGCUCUUAUUAUUCAUGCUAGACUU
This 173-nucleotide microRNA precursor is filed under the name Citrus sinensis (sweet orange). Lineage: Eukaryota; Viridiplantae; Streptophyta; Magnoliopsida; Sapindales; Rutaceae. The record is from RNAcentral.